Molecule: ribosomal RNA, 415 nt
Filed under: uncultured bacterium
Lineage: Bacteria
Description: bacterial SSU rRNA
Rfam family: Bacterial small subunit ribosomal RNA
Source: RNAcentral
AACGAACGCUGGCGGCAGGCUUAACACAUGCAAGUCGAGCGCCCAGCAAUGGGAGCGGCGCACGGGUGAGUAACACGUGGGAACGUGCCCUUUGGUUCGGAAUAACGUAGGGAAACUUGCGCUAAUACCGGAUAAGCCCUUACGGGGAAAGAUUUAUCGCCAUUGGAGCGGCCCGCGUUGGAUUAGCUAGUUGGUGGGGUAAAAGCCUACCAAGGCAACGAUCCAUAGCUGGUCUGAGAGGACGACCAGCCACACUGGGACUGAGACACGGCCCAGACUCCUACGGGAGGCAGCAGUGGGGAAUCUUGGACAAUGGGGGAAACCCUGAUCAGCCAUGCCGCGUGAGUGAUGAAGGCCUUAGGGUUGUAAAACUCUUUCGGCGGGGACGAUAAUGACGGUACCCGCAGAAGAAGCU